AGAUGAAGAGCUUGGGUAUCAGGGCAGGUGUGUCUGCAUGCAUGUGUGUUUUGGGGGCAGACUGAAGGAAGAGAAGGCUGGAGAGAGGGAACAUGGGUCUGAGGGCACAUCGCUAAGGGGUCAAGAGGCCUAAAGGAGGAGUCUAAGGCUCUCCAUCGAACUUGGACUUGGUCUACAUUAGACUUUAACCUCCAUGAGGCUUGGACUUUCAGGCUUCCGCCCUCACACUGCGGGCAGGUGAGGCGUCUGCUACAGGCCUGGUCUCGCAGAGGUGGCCCAGCGCCCCCCGCCGCCGCCUUCUCCUGGAGUCUGUGUGACAGAAUGGGACCUGUGGGAAAGCAGCACGUCAGCACCCAGUCCCGCUUGCGCGCCAGCAGCUAAUUAAAGCCAGGAAGGUGAUGGCGAUUUUCAACUCAUUCCCGUUAUAAACAGCCGACCUUCCUACCGAGUUCAAGUACCUUCUGCCUGGCCUGGAAGAACAAUAUCUCUCUGUCUCCCUCUUCCACUGGCCCUCACCUGCCUUCCCUGAACAUGCAUUUUGCCUGACAGGAGGCAGAGGUGGUUGGUGCUUGCAGCUUGGUCCAGGAGGCCAGCAGGACCAGACAGAAGACCACAGCGACACAUGGGGAUGGCUGUCCCACAGGCAGAAAUGAGCAGCCGGGAGGAAGCCUGGGCAGCCAGCCACCCAGCUCCCUCCACAUCGUGGCCCUAGAACGGAGUCUUGAAGAAUA
Molecule: long non-coding RNA, 731 nt
Filed under: Pongo abelii (Sumatran orangutan)
Lineage: Eukaryota; Metazoa; Chordata; Mammalia; Primates; Hominidae
Description: lincRNA
Source: RNAcentral